GGGAGUUCUAGGGGAUCUCGGUCUUCAUGCUCCGGGAGGCAUCUUUAUGAUCCUCACCGGCCGUUCCGGGGUGACCUCGGGGCCCCGCCGGCAGUUUUUUGUGCCUUCUUGAGGUUUUUGCACAAGAUUCAGGCUCAUUGGCCUUACUGUCGCUUCGUCAUCUCAGCUGGUUUUGUGCCUAACUGAGGUCUUGUUUCAAGGGAUCUUUCUGAGCCCUGUUCUUUCUUUUUCAUGGAG
Molecule: long non-coding RNA, 237 nt
Filed under: Manihot esculenta (cassava)
Lineage: Eukaryota; Viridiplantae; Streptophyta; Magnoliopsida; Malpighiales; Euphorbiaceae
Description: long non-coding RNA (MESC_LNC011865)
Source: RNAcentral